Molecule: ribosomal RNA, 490 nt
Filed under: uncultured bacterium
Lineage: Bacteria
Description: partial 16S ribosomal RNA
Rfam family: Bacterial small subunit ribosomal RNA
Source: RNAcentral
AAUGAACGUUGGCGGCAUGGAUUAGGCAUGCAAGUCGAGCGAGAAGGGUUUUGAAGCUUGCUUUAGAACCCGGAAAGCGGCGCAAGGGAGAGUAACGAGUAGUUAUCUACCCCAAGGCCCGGAAUAGCUGCGGGAAACUGCAGGUAAUGCCGGAUAAUAUCCCCGGAUCAAAGGUGUGAUUCCGCCUUGGGAGGAGACUGCUUUGUACUAGCUAGUUGGUAGGGUAAUGGCCUACCAAGGCUACGAUGCAUAGCGGGCGUGAGAGCGUGGCCCGUCUCACUGGGACUGAAACACUGCCCAGACACCUACGGGUGGCUGCGGUCGAGAAUCUUCGGCAAUGGGCGAAAGCCUGACCGAGCGAUGCCGCGUGCGGGAUGAAGGCCCUCGGGUUGUAAACCGCUGUCGUAGAGGAGAAAGGUCUGAUGAGGAAUCAGAUUUGAUCUAUUCUAGGAGGAAGUCGGGGCUAAGUUCGUGCCAGCCGCCGCGGUAA